GGAUGCAGGUCUUUAGUCACUAUAUCAUAUGGGACACUUAUUUGCUCCAAAUUACCAAAUGUAACAUAAAAUUAAUUGACUUGUGGAGGGAGCAAGUUCUGUUUCCAAAACUUAAAAUAUAGCGUCACAGGAGUUUAUCAGAAUUCUUCUCUCGAUAGCCUUGGUGAGAGAAUUCCAUUAAACAAAAAAGCAGUUUCUUUCCCAUUGAUGCAACACCUCAAUAUUGGCAGAGGACCCCGAGGUUUUAUAACACACACAUACUAUUUCUCUAACACUGGGGUUAGACUGCAACUCAUCCUUGACGGUUGGCCAUGCUGGCUGGGGCUGGUGGGAGGUGGCACAACAAUAUGUUGAGGGCCACAGGCUUUCCACCACUGCUGUAGCGAGAAUAGUGCGGGUUCUGGGUCAGUGAAAUACUUGUAUCGCUCUUCAGCUUGAGAAAUUAUUUUUUAUUUCCUAAAAAUAGUCCAACAACAUAUGAGGGCUCCAGAUUGGGGAAGAUGUCUGUAGCAACACAUUUUAACCAAAUAUCUAUAAAAAGUUCCAAGCCCUUCACUAUGCUUAGUGUAUGCUCCCCAUAGUGCAGGUUAGCUGGGUUGCAUCUGUGAUAAAAUGGCUUAUUGACACUUUCCACCUGACAAGCCCCCUCUUUCUGCAGAAUUGCCAGAUAGAGUUGAGCCACCGGAUGCAAGUUCCCAGGUUUCUAGUUUUAAGGGCAUAUAUAUUUAAUUUGGUCACCUCUUGUAUGUUCAGCUGAACUCCAUUGCUAACAUCUACUUAUUUCAUGGUCUCUGAGGCAGAGCAGAGUUCAGUGUGAUCUUGCAGGUUCAGUUCAUUUUGUAUGAAAGGCACUACUCCUGCAGUCUUUCCUCUGCCAAAGAUGCCUCCUUGUGACUGUAUCCUUUGGCAUACUGCUCUUCAUUAUCAGCAUGACAUUCCUAGGUAAGAGCAGGGCUUAGAUCCCAAGAGCCAGUGAUCAUUCAGCAAAACAACAUUCAGCAUGAAACAAAACAAUGAUAUAAUACUCCAAGCUGACUGGGAGAUAGUGAAGACAGCUGUGCAGACUGCAAACUUGUACUUGCCUGUUCCACAACCAUACUUUGUGAAUAUAAAAUAUUAUCCUAUCUAUCAUAUUGUAGGGGGCUCACACAAUUGCUCUUCUUAUCUCUAUUCUGUUGUGACAAGGAAGAGGGUAUGUGUGGCGGGCUUCAGACAGUGCUAGAAACGAGCCAGACAUCACACGGGUUUUGUGACUGGUGUGCGUCCAGUUGUGACCAUGUGGAGAUCCCUAGAUGCCAGGAUGGUGACUGACAUCUCCACUUGGCUGGCCCCUCCAGCUUUCUUAAGCAGCUAAGUGGGAAGCUUAUUUAUUGCAUUUAUAUCCCAUUGGGACCACAGUGAUUCCUGUAGCUUGGUGUCUAAACAACAUUUAUCAAUCACUCAUUGGCUGAAAACACUGGCAGGUGGGAGUAGCUAACUUGACUCAUUUCACAGAAAUCACUUAGACAGAACCUGCACACUUUGCUUCAUAACUUUCUUUCAGGAAUGCUAGAGACAUACCUUGAAUUUUCAUUCUUUUUUUUUUAAAGAGUCUGGGCCCACUGCCUGGGGUUUUCACUGUAGGCAUCUGUGGGCGCCAUGGGUUGGCAACCCUCUCAUUUCUUGAGGGGGCAUUGAGAGGGCAAGAAUGGCCAUUUUUUAUUCUUCCUAGUAUCCUCACAACAACUCUGUAACAUAGGCUGUGGUGAUUUGCCUCAGGACAACCAUUAAGUGUCAUAACCAAGUGGGGCAUUUAAACCUUCAUUUCCCAUACCUAAACACACUACUGAACUAAUUGUACUCCCUACAAAGUAGGACAAUUCACCCACCAUUUUCUCUCCCUCCCACCACAGCAACCCGCACAAUCAAGAGGAAGUGGUACAUGUGCCCCACAAAACAACCACCAGCAGAGUGAACAGCUCCAGAUGAUUAAGCCAGUGAGUUACGUGGCAGGCCAUUUUCUUGCUGCCAUUUUCUGUUUUGUUGCAUUAGGAACCCAGCACCCCAGCUUAGCCUUAUAGACCUAAAUCCACAGUGGUUAUUCUGGCAUAUUCAUGUAUGAAUCAUGCCCAUAAGUGUGUCUGUGACGUGUUCUAUAUGCUUAAACAGAAGCUAGCUUGGUAUGGUGCCCUUUGUGCUGCCUCUGCUCUGCUUUAUGUGUUCUGGGAAAAGCGAAGCAGUGUGACCAGUUUGGACUGAGGCGUAUUAACAAAAACAGCAUGAUUGCUUGGAGUAUUCUCAAGGCUGCCUGUGCUGUUUUUGGCUGCAGCCCAUGUUAUGUCACUCUGUUACUGUCAUAACCUCUGAAGGUCAGCAAAUUCACCUAGCAUGAUUCCUGCAUUCUUUCUCCCUCCCAUCUUCAUUCUAGGCUCUUGUUCAAGCUGCUUAGGUCUUUUUUCUUUGUGCUCCUCACUUAGUAGGUCACGUUUCUGCCUCAUCUAGCUGUGCAUUUCAGAGUAGCUGAGGUCAGGUUAGAAGUGAAAUUGCGAAGUUUGUUUUUCAGGUUUUUGGUGUGUUUCUUUUAGAGAGACCGGCCGAUCUGGAUACACAGGCUCUGUGUCCUACUUGGAAGCAUUAGUAAUUUGCAGUUGCGAAUAUUAUGGAAGCAGCUGUAGCUAACAAUUGCUAGAUGUUGCCAUUGUCCUUCAGCUGGAAUAGUCAGGGCAGCAUGGUAAAGUCCAGGCUAGAGAGUUGUGGGUCUUGGAGCCAUUUCUAAUGGAAAGUGCCCUGAAUAUUGCUAUUUUUGAAUAGUACUAGGCCUGAAAGCAAGUAAUAAUUUUCUAGUGUUUGCACUGCUCUACCCUCUCACGCCCUACCACAGACAAACAUGCUACUCAGAGAGAGAAGCAAUUAGAUGUGCACAUACAUAACUUGUAGAAGCAAGUUCACCUAUUCUUACACCUCAAGCACUCGGCCUUUCCCUUCUGCCUGAUGGAGGCAGCCGGCUUUUUGCAGACAGUGCCAGCGAUGACAGUGCACUGUGUUGUUAGAUUCUGGACUUGAGAACCAGCUGCUUGCUGGCCCCAGAUUUUGGAAAAGGGGGGGGGGAUCACCAACAACUGGUGGCCAGGAGUGCUUUUUUACCCAGUUUGGGCUGGUGAGUCAGCUGUGCCUGUAUUUUUAGCGAAGGCGGAUCUGACUGUGGUCAUGUCAAGGCUGUGUUACUGCAACACCCUGUAUGUGGGGCUGUCUUUGAAGACCAUUAGAAACUUAAGCAGGUUCACAAUACAGUUCUAGGAUUUUUGAGCAGAGCCAUCAUUGUGGGCUUCCCAUAGACAUCUGGCUGCCCACUGUGGGCUAUGGGAUGCUGGACUAAAUUGGCCUUUAGAGUGAUCUAGUAGGGCUCUUUAUAUUAUAUCCUUUAAAAAGCAUAAAGCUUCUAUUUCUGCUUUUGGUGUUCCUGGUGGAACAGCCCAUUGGGUAUGUUACCUUGGGACGGGAGUCUAGGACCAUGAAUUCAUAGAUUCUAUGCUUGAACAAGAUUUGCACAUGACCUUUUUUCCUGUUAACUGUGACACUCUCCAAGAGGUAGGACUAAAAUAGAAACAGGGUGGUCUGGAGAGAUGUGACUGAGUGACUCUGUAACUUCGCCUGUGGGCAAUCCAGAGUUUUGCCUGGGUCUUCAUGACUCUCUAAAACAAUAUACUUGGUUGUGGGGGGAGGGGAGCUGAUGGUUUGAAUCUACGUUUUCCAAUUUUAAUAAAAAGCUGCAGGAAAAGAUUGCUGUUUUGUAUUGGCCUUCAGUUAACCGAUUUUCACACACGACCUGCUUGCUUUUUUAGGCGUUAUUAUUUCUGGACACUUUGUGUCAUGGUGUCAUGGUUAAUUGGGUGGGAUCUCUCAAUGGAAUAGUACACACUUUGCAUGCAGGUUCAAUCCCUAGUAUUUCCAGUUUAAAAUGUCCAGGUAACAAGUGAUGAGAGACACUCCCUAAUGCCCGGGGAAACUGCUGUCAGCCACAGCUGGAAGGGACCACAAGGGUUAUCUAGUCCAGCCCCCCUGUAGUGUAGGAAUAUUUUGCCCAACAUGGGACUUGAACCCACAACCCUGAGAUUCAGAGUCUCACGCUCUACCCACUGAGCUAGGUGGACAAAUUGUGUGACCUAGUAUAAGACAGCUUCCUUUUUUUCUUUCUUAUUUAGAACAUGUGGAUGUGGCACAAGGAAGGGAACUGUAGUCAUCCACGUUUUUCUAUCAGAUUUUUCUUUUAGAGAUUUUUUUUGUUGGAUUUUGUAUCUGCACAGUCAGUUGAGCGUAACACUUUUCUGCGAUUGCAUCAAGCUGAUGCAAGACCAGUUUCCAGUCGUAUUUUCUGUAGGGAAGGGUAGCAUUUUAUUUUGCUCUUCAUCAGUGUUUUGCAAAUAUUCCACUUGUGCUUAAUAAUACCUGUAUCUCGGAAUGAAUUGUCCUAAUCGUUAAUGAACCAAGCCAAAGAAAUGGACCUGAUCCCAUUAAAUUGGAUGGUUCUGUAUAGCAUCUGGUUCAUGUUGACUGCAGAAAUUGGAUAGCCAAUUUGUUUGUUUUUUGUAACAGAGAAAAAUACAUUGACAUGCCACUAGUAUAGGUAGGUGCCUCCCUUCCCUUUGGUUUGCUGCUGCUAGACCACAUGGUGAUGGAAUGUCAUUGUGAGCUUGCUGAUAGAUGCAGGAGAAGAUUAAUGUUCCUUCUGUCAACUAGGUAAAAGAAGAAUCUGGUCCCUUAACACUAAAUAUUGUGAAUCAUCUGGGCUGUUUACAGAGAUGUCUGGAAUUUGGCAGUAAAUUUUAGCUGUGUGCUACCUUGUGAAUGCAGAAGCUUUAAGAGCAGUGUUCCAGGUUAUAUUUGUGCCUAGUGGGCUAGCGUGAAUUUCAGCUUGCACAUUUAAAAGUACAAAGCAAACAAAAUCUUACAUUUAAAUUACUUAAAUAAAAAGAGAAAUAGGCUCAUGUAACUAAAAAAAAAAGGGCUAUUUAUACUAUAUUCAUGUAUGGUGGGAGCCAAUUUAAAUGUUGAAUGACAAUACACAAAGAGGAAUGAAAGCACUGUCCUAUCAUAAAUUGCUCCCCAAGUUUGUGGGGUUUCCUAUAUCCAAGCAGCAUACUGUAUAAAUUUUAUGAAAUAAAUAAGCAUGAGCCUGUGUAGAAGUUAGUGUUUUGGACUUGGGCAGAGGAGACACUUGGCCAUGAAAUUCAUUGAGUGACCAUGGCAGGUCACUCCCUCUCAGCCCAACAUAUUUCAUGGGGUUGUUGAGACACGACAUUGUCUUGUACACUACCCUGAGCUCAUUGUAAGGAAGAUAUGAGCAUAAUGUAAUGUGAAUAUGCAGUCCAUCAUUUUAUUUUUAUUUGAGCACAGUUUUCAACUACUUCAGUCUUCCAGGGCAAUCUUAUGCAUGCCUACUUGGAAGUAAAUCCCACUGAGUUCAGUGGGUUUUACUACCAUGAAAAUGUGCCUUGGAUUUGUAGCCUUAGAUGAUUUUCCAUUGGCUUCAGCAGGUUUACAGCUAAACUUAACCUGUAUUGCUUCAUUCCGCCACAAAUUUGACUGCCGUUUUGUCCAUCAACCCCAGAGACUGCCUGAAAGGAAGCUGGAGGCACAACAAAGGCAAAUUCAUUUCUAGAGAGCAAACCUCUGUCCCCCAAUCACAAAAUUGUUGUCUGAAUCAAACCCAAAUAACCAGUUGCUGCGCUUCCAUUUCCUGUUCUGCUGUUGCCUCUGCCCUGGCUCCUGAUGGUACACAUUGAAAUGCAAAUGACAGCAGUAAUUGGCUGAGAGAUAAACCACAAUGAGUGACUGAGCCAUGCAGCAGGGAGUUAAGUGGCUAAGUGACAAUUAUUGCGCUGCAUCCUCCAGGAUCAUGAGCAGCAGCACCGUUUGUUCUGGGAUUUAAAGGAACUGUAACACUUUAAUUGGAGGGCUUUUUUAAAAUUAUUUGGUUAACGGGGCUCACAUAGUUUCUCCUCUGGUUCAGCUUUAGCAUGAAGUAGGGUUGUGAAAAGGGCUUUUGCUUUCCCUUGUUUUAUUCUUAAGUCUUAUACUUGUUUAUCGUAUUUUUCUUUUUUUAUUAGGUAUUUUCAUGUUUUUAAAACACAUUGCAGUGCUUCUGGGUGGGCAGAAGGGAAGUAGAUGGAGAAAGUUGGUAAUUAACACAGAAACUAAAGGUGACGUCCAAUUAAGUCAUAUUUGGAGUAGGCCCACUGAAAGCAGUGGAUUUUCUUGGUUUCGGUGGAUAUACUCAGAGUAUGAGUAACAUUAGACAUCUCCCUAAGGCUGUAUGUUUUGAAUGACUGUUCAGCUGAAGGAACACUGGCAGUAGCAAGUUAAAAUAGAAUCUUGCCGUGGCGUUUUAAAUGAACAGUUUUGGGCGAUGCAGAUUGCAGGCGUGGCCCCAUUUUCCCCACCCCUGGCCAUUCCAUUUGUGUUGGGGCCUGCAGCAGGAUGUUUGUGUUUGCUUUAAAAGUACUUAUGCCCCACUCUUUAACCAAAAAGAGUCCUGGGAGCUUUUUAAAAAAACCAGUAAGAGCAUCCAUGCCUACCAUAGGCAUGUGCCCCACUGGAAUUUUACUUACAAGGGAACAAGACCCUUGAACUAAACCCCUGCUCUGAGUACUUGUUUCUAAAGUUAUUUUAAUAAAACCAUACUCUGCUUCUCUGCAGUUUCCUGGGGGCCUGAAGAUUACACACAUUCCCUUCCCAACAUUCCCUGAACUCUUGCCCACAUUGGGGUUUGUCUGCCUCAAUGGCAAACUCUCUUAUCAUCUCCACAAUAUGCACAGAGCCCAGUCCAUGUUCUUCUAGCCCAGGGGUAAGCAAACUAAGGCCCGGGGGCCGGAUCUGGCCCAAUUGCCUUCUCAAUCCGGCCCGUGGACGGUCUGGGAAUCAGCGUGUUUUUACAUGAGUAUAAUGUGUGCUUUUAUUUAAAAUGCAUCUCUGGGUUAUUUGUGGGGCAUAGGAAUUUGUUCUUUUUU
This 6986-nucleotide transfer RNA is filed under the name Podarcis lilfordi (Lilford's wall lizard). Lineage: Eukaryota; Metazoa; Chordata; Lepidosauria; Squamata; Lacertidae. The record is from RNAcentral.